UACGGAGGGUGCGAGCGUUAAUCGGAAUUACUGGGCGUAAAGCGCACGUAGGCGGCUUCUUAAGUCAGGGGUGAAAUCCUGGAGCUCAACUCCAGAACUGCCUUUGAUACUGAGGAGCUUGAGUCCGGGAGAGGUGAGUGGAACUGCGAGUGUAGAGGUGAAAUUCGUAGAUAUUCGCAAGAACACCAGUGGCGAAGGCGGCUCACUGGCCCGGUACUGACGCUGAGGUGCGAAAGCGUGGGGAGCAAACAGG
Molecule: ribosomal RNA, 253 nt
Filed under: uncultured bacterium
Lineage: Bacteria
Description: partial 16S ribosomal RNA
Rfam family: Bacterial small subunit ribosomal RNA
Source: RNAcentral